RNAcentral lists this long non-coding RNA (26662 nucleotides) under Ooceraea biroi (clonal raider ant). RNAcentral describes it as "uncharacterized LOC113561787". Lineage: Eukaryota; Metazoa; Arthropoda; Insecta; Hymenoptera; Formicidae. The record is from RNAcentral.
AAUUAUGCUCCGCGAAGGGAUGGCCAGUAGUUCCGUGCUGUCUGCCGUGCGGGUCGGAUACGACGAACGCGAUAGUCCUGUCUCUCCAAGCCACCCUCUUACUCAGCGAAACGGACGCCGUUCAGCAACGCUGAGACGCGCGCGCGACCUCUCUCCGUCAGAAAAUUCGUAGGGAUAAUCCGAAAGCGGCGAGGAACGUUGCCCGCGUCAUUCUCGAUAUCGUGUCUCGGCGUUUCCCGAGCUUCGUUUCAACACUUUCAACCCCCGAGCAACGACCGCGCUCGUGGACGCGCGAGUUAUACAUGUCGUGAUGUCGCGAGGUGAGCAAAGCGGGCCGUCGAGAGAACUCGCGGCCGAGGGUGCUCCGAUCUCGUCCUGACGAUAUCGGCCCGUGUGCGUCAUCCUCUUCGUGGACAUCGGUGGUGCAUUUGGUAGAAUAAUGUUGGUGUGAGUGAGAGAGAGAGAAAGAGAAAAAGAGAGAGAGAGAGACAGAGCCCGACGGUGCGGUGGAUCGGGUUCGCGAAUGGAUCGGAGGUACGUCUUUAGAGAUUGUGCUCGCUCUCUAUCUGCUCGUGGCUUUAAGGGGAGAAACGAGCGACGCGCGAGACCGUACUCUGCAUCCCUCUCGAGCGCCAGUGUGUGCGACGUGUGACACGUGUGACAGUUACCCGUGGGAUACCACCGUGGAUUAUACGUUUCCUCGGCUGCGAGAGGGUGGUCGCGGGCGUUCGUGUGCGCGGGAUUAUACAUACACACGCCAGUGGUUCUCCUCGGUGCAUUCUACGGCGAAUUCACCCCUAAAGGAUAUGUCGGUAUAGUGCUCGCGCGGAACGGAGCUACGAUGGCCGGAUAUUCCAGCGCGCUCAAUACGGAUUUCGCUUCGAAAUCGAUGCCGAGGAUGCGACGAUCUGCGAUCGAUGCUAUUGAGGAUACCUCCGGAUGCGCGUUAACAAUGUCGCCAGUGAGCUUCCCGCCCAUUGGUGCGAGGCCAUCCUGCAAAACGGACAGGUAAGAGCUAUGCGGAAGCGCGAUAUCACGCAUACGUGGCUCCAUAAUUGCCCCGUCGCGCGUCUAAACGAAAAUAAACAGGCGCGCACAAGUUAUUCGGUUGAUACUCUGUGUGAAAAAUAUAUCUGUGCACCUCGCAAAUGCCUCGGCAAAAAUUCGAGUUCCGUCGAUGCGUUACGCGCAUCCCGACGAGCUCGCGCGGCUCGUCUGUACUGUAAUAAUUCGCCGCGAAGAAGCGACACGCGCGUUUGUAUCCCAAAAUGGCUUAUGUGUACGAUUUCGGUCGACCAAAUGUAGUCUUCCGAACAAUAACUAGAUGCGGCACGGUGGAACACUGCGAGUACGCUUUAACCAGAUUACACACGCUCCGGAUUGUGAGAACCGUACCGUUUUAUGUACACGCACGCGCUAUAAUUGGAGGAAUACUCGUGAGCUCCAAGUAAGCCGCUUUACUUCUUAUCUGCAGUGAUUCUCGGGCAAAUUAUUGGAUUCUGCACAAGGACUUUUGCAUUACUCGUAAUAAAUAUCCCGAUUAGCUAAUUUAUGCAUCGCCGUGGCAUGUUUUAUUCAUCGGACACGCGAUGACAAGUUCCGCCAGACGAGAUAAUUCUCCAGCGUUGAAUUAUCUCCGUCCGAUUGCACGCACGUUCUUCGAAAUAAAGAACGUUGUAUCAGUAAUGAAUCAAUAAUGAAUAAGAAAUUAGUCAGGAGCUAUCCUGCGGCUUACAUUAUUAAACGGAUUCCGUUGGAAUCAUUGACCGAUUUAUAACGCAUUGGGAGAGAGAAUUGGUAAAGUAUCGGCGCAAUAUCAUCGCAAUAUCGAAUUCGGCAAAUAUAGGGGAACGAUUGUAGCAUUAGCGGCAUUGUUAAACACCGGCUUUGUGUUACGCGCGCACGUCAAUGAACGUGAGCGAGCUGUCCCGUAUAGCGAUACUCUUAUGCGUACAGACAUAUAUUUGGUCGUCCCUGUUGCCUAUCUUCAUAUAUUCCGUUCUUUACGAGCAGUCGAUCAUAAAUUUUUCAAAGUACGUCGUGAAUGCCUCCGGUGAAGGGCUCUGCUCCACCAGCCUGGAGAGCGUGUAACGAUCGCGGGUUGUUCGCGCGCGCAAAGUAACUGCGUAAAUUUCACUAUCAUUCCGCCGCGCUCGUUAAAUUAAAGGAUGCGAUAUGCGAUGAGUCGAUAAUAAACGGAAUAAACAGCCGUUCGCUCUUUCACGAGUGCAUUAAUAUUGCCGUGCAACGUAACGGGACGAGCCGUAAGAAAGUAAAAAGACGUGAUAUCUUAUUUAUCCGCGACUGGAGUCAAUGGAGAGAAGACAUCGCGGCGUAUCAAUCGAUUCCCACUCCGCUAGCUAGCGUUUCACGAGCAGAUAGAGUUGAAAUAGAUUUCAGCAGAAUAUCUGGAAAAUAGAGGUACAUGUGUGUGUGUGUGUGUGCCCGCGCGAGCGCAAACCCCUCUCGUUUGACGUUAAAUUUUUCUCAGAAUUCUUGAGCGAAUUUUCUUUCCACCAAAGAUAAAACGCGAACCGACUCGGAAGCGGCAAGGAGAGCACGGAGGCGCGUGCUCGUGUACUACAGAGCAGCUUUUUUAAGGGGGAGAUGAAUAAAUGAGCAGGACGACCUCGCAAAGUAACCCGGCAAGGUCCUGAAUCAGUCACCUGUACAGGCGAUUUCUGUCGCCGUUUCUUGCCGCGUUGCCGCCGCUGCGCCAUCAAAUAUUUUGCAGCGACCCUCGCGCAAGUUAGCGGACUAGGCGGACAUUUCUCGAAACUGCCGGAAACGCGUAUAAUCGUGCCGUUUUACUGGUCCCGCGCGCAACGAACCAUUAAAACGCAGUCGGCAAACAGGGUUUCCGGUGUGUGCCGCGCUCCGCAGUUUUUCCCCGUCUCGCGGAAAACAUAACGGAAGUGUGAACGAUCCGCGAUCCGCAACUUAACUCGUAACGUGUUUCCUUCUUUUUCUUUAGGUUUUUGUUUUACUUUUCCUCCCCUGUAGUCGCGAACGUUCGUUCUCCAUUCUCGCGAAGUGAUCACUGCGGACGUAUUCGCAAAGUCGAUUUCGCGGAAAGCCAAUAUGGACACGUUCGUCCAACAGUUAAACCAGUUCUUACAGGUAACGUUGGUUCAUUCAACAGGCUGAGAAGAGCCCUGGGCUAGUCCCGCGCCAGCGGCUUUGGUUCAUUGAUUUUUACUGGCUUUUCUUCGGGAUGAGGGACGCGAGGUACGGCCGUGUGCCCAUUCUGUUCCUCAUGCAAGGCAAUCAUAUAUUCUAUUCGUUCCCGGCAAAAGUAAUAAAAAUGGCUCCGGAAAAGAAAAUUAAGUUGACUGAUUAAAUCUUUAGGUGAUCGUUGUAUUUGAUGCUUACAAAAUAUUUGAAAGCCAAGAGGUGGUAUCCAUAGAUGUACAUGUUUAUGGAUCUUCUUGUGUUAUAUUAUAAAUUGUGACGUUAAUUACAUGUGAUAUUUUAUUUUAAAAUAUGAUGUAUUAAUUCCAGUUGAAGUUUUCUCUUAAAGCAUUACUUUACUUUUAUAAUUUAUUUUUACAAUUUGCAUUCAAUCAAUCAUUUAUCGCUGCACGGUUAACCGCUGAAUGUCAAACCGUCAGUAUGAAAUUCAUCACCCAAGCGAAUUUGCACACACGAUUGACACGGCUGGCAAUCAAUCAAUAUUGGGAAAAAAAGAUAAUAAUACUUAAAAUAUUUUAAUCUCGUUCUUUUAGGAGCGAUCGCGCGAGUGGGAGAUUCCAAAAUCCCACUUUUCAUUUCUUACGAGAAUCGAUAAUCGAAUUAAGGAAUUAAUCGAAAAUAAAUAUUAAUUAAUAUUCAUCGCACAAUCAUUAGAAAAUUAAUUAAAAUUUAGCGAAUUAAUUCGAACGAAUCAGAACGACACGAGAAACUGUAUCACGACCUAAUUUAGUGGAUGCUCAUUCGACACAAUUUAUAAAUGAAGCACAAUUUAUAAAGAUAGGCUGCAAGCAUGUAAGGUAUGAGGCUGCUUCGCGCAUAUAUAGAACAAAUCCGACGAAAAGUAAUUUUAGACGAUAUUAAAAAUCGAUAGCGUCCAUAAUUAAGGAAGAAGGCAGCAGAUUUAUUUUAGACUUAAUUCCAUCUUCAGUAGCGAGAUGUAUUACUUCUGACGCGUUUCAUGGAUAAUUGAGAAACCUGUGGAAUUCGAUGAAAAGGACUGAAAGCGCGAGCGCAACAAUGAUCCGUGAUCCAUGAGGCAGGUCCUUCAAACGUAAAACCACGCGUGUAAUCUUGCACAUUACGGAUCUCCACUCUCGCGGAUUCUCUGAUCCGCUGACCAUUGGAUUUUCCUGAAAAUCAAGCUGCGUUCUCGCACCGGCGCAAGACGCUAACGCGGUAGGACGCGAACAAAGUGCAGCCAAGUGACGACGACGGCGAAGAAGAUAGCGCAGCCGUUUUAAGGGGAUAAAUAAAUAAGCGCGCCGACCACCCACGGCCCGGCCGAGAAUAGCCCCCGGCCAGCCCCGUUUCAGCAGCGGUUUCUGCCCAUUGAUUUUUGUCCGUUUUCCCCGCGGGCGAAACGACACGCCAUUACACCACUAUGGCAAUUACGCGACUACGUUAAGCAUUUACUACGUCGGCUUUAUUAUCACAGCCAACGCGCCACCACCCCCGCGACAGCUUGUGCUUGGCGCACGUACGUAUGCUGAAGUAACGUAACGAGCGCGGUGCGAGAGCAGCUCAUAAUAAAUUCAUACUUCCAAUAUUGUCAUACUACGUUAAAUUUUAUUUCGAGACCUCGAUCAUUAAUUUACGCCAGUACAAACACCGGGUGUUAGCCUUUCCGAGAGAUGGUGGGAUAUAUUUCAACGCUCUCCGCAAACCGCAGCGCGUUUCAUCAACUUCUUCGGCCUGUUGAUCUACGUUAUUUGUAUCAGAUCAGCUCCCGAGUUUACGAGCCCGAGUUUACCGGCGUUCCAAAGCGUGAAUUUUGGAAGCUUGUGGUGCAACGUGAAACGUCGUAGAAUGCAACGUAUGUACGUGAAAGCAGAGAUGGAAAGCAGUUUUAAAGAAACAUCCAAGUUAAAUUGUUAUUUGCCAGACUAUGCUAAAAAUCACCGCAGGGCUUUCAUGUAUAUUAAAUAAAUUUGAAUAAUACAAUGUGAGUGAUGUACAACGCCAGAUUGCCCUCGGUCCCGAUAAAACUGGAAUAAAUCUUGCGGAUAACAGAUAACAGCAUUAAAAUCUUUAAAAGCAGAUGUUUGCUUCGCACAGCCACGUUAAAUGCGUUGACAUUUUUGAAUGUAACGUGUGUGCGCGUGUGUGUGUGUGUGUGUGUGUGUGUGCGUGUGCGUGUGCGUGCGUGUGUGUGCGUGUGUUGCGUGUGUGUGCGAGAGAGAGAGAGAGAGAGAGAAAUCCUUUAUUCUAUCUUUCGUGUUUCAUACAUACGAAUAGAAUGUAAUAUGAAUUUUUUUGAAAAAUGUAAAGGUUUCAAAGAUCUCCUAUCUUUCAUUCCGCAGUUUUCAACGGUGUGACUCUAUAAAGUAGUAAAUUAACGGUAAACUGAAAGCUGUUAUGCAAAACGACGUUUAAAAAAGAUAUUAGACAUUUCUUGAAAACCGGAUUUUUGUAUCGAAUUGCUCCACGGGAUGCCUCCACUGUCACGGAACCGGUUUUUCCGAAUAUCACUUUCAUGUUAUAUAACGUACAUCCAUAUGUACAGCGAACGGCCUUGCGCAAGAACGGAAUUAACUCAUAAAAUUAAAAAGAGAAAUAAAUUGCGCAUACUGUCGGGCAACGUGAAACUUCGCAUUUGAGAGUUAAUGUAGUUGAGACUGCUACUUACAGGUGAUUCUUGCAUAAUACGGCAAUCUAUGUAAUCCGUUACAAAUACUCGGCAAAAGUUGCAAUCACUUGGCGGAGCGCGAAUAAUAUGUAAAUUUAUAUAACGUGUAUCUAUAGCGAAAUAACACACCUUCGCCACCUGCGGUGCGGUGGCACGUAGAGGUGGCAAGCGUAGAACCGUAGAAUUUUCAAUGCUAAUUUCGAACAUAGCUGGCUGUUCCGCGGUCGUUGCCUCGUCGACAAAACCGUACUCCGGGACAUUGUGCAAAUGCAGGUGACCCCCGUCCGGGUUCGAUUAAGAAGCAAAACAACGUCCCGAACAUUGGCUUUGUAUUUCUGAUUAACGUCCCGGUCCCCACUUCCCUCGUGCACCAAGCCCCUAUAUUAAUACACGCGGCGAGCCUGGCGAACGCGAAAACCGAACGAAAAAGCUCAGCCCGUCAUUCGCGUACGCUGGGAAAAUUUUUGUUUUACUGAUAUUAGCAAUUUUAACAUGGCUGGCCGACUUUAGCGGGAGGAAGAGAGAGGCGUAAGCCGCAAAGCAGAUUACCCUCGGGCCAGAAUUCUUUUACGUUCCUUUCCUUUUUUCCUUGUUCUCUUUUUAAUUUGCACGCCACUGUAACGUCGUAGUUCGCGUAGAUGCACCGUGUUCCUCGCGGCGGAAAAUCUUUUAAGGAAAACCUAGAUGCCGAGAGAGACGAGGGCCUGGAAUCAGCGGAGGAAAAUCGUGGAAUUUCAUGGCGCGGCCCGUUCUUAACGCGCGGAUGACAAUACGUUUUGAAAAAAACCCAGAGGAUUCGAGAGAGCUUGUUUGACAUUUUUCCGCAAACAAACGACCGAAGGGGAUUAGGUUUCAACUUGCACCGAUGCAGUUUUGUGUGCGUCGGCGUACGUGAGGAUAUAAAUGUUAAAACACAGGAAACUAGGGGAUAUAGAGAUAUGAAGAGAAAGAGAGAUACAGAGAGACAGAGAGAGGGAAAGGAACAGAACAACUGUCUCCUCACGCGCGGUGUAUUACGUCAAUCGGAUUAUUAUCGCGAUAAAAACAAAACUCCUUUUGCAGGCAGUUUCUGUCUGAUGCUCGUUUGUCCGUAAAAAGCGCCGUGAUAUAAAAAUAUUUCCAGCAACACCGUACUGAAUUAAAUCGACUGUAAGUAAUUACACUGCCGGAGAUAGCUAGAACGCAAUUCUCUGCGAGAGGCACGUAUUAUUUCACUGAUAAGACCAUUUUAUUUUUCUUCUUGUCGCUUUUAUUUAUAUACUCGUUUGUCGUUUCAACGAAUCACUUUUUAUCCGUAAUUACGUAGUCCCCGCUGCCGAUAUCUUCCUGCCUGUGCAGCUUAACUGAUACAAAAAGAAAAAAAGAACAAGCCUCUGAGUGAUGCGUCCUCGUAGAAAGAAGAAGCGCCAGGAUACCUUAAGCGUUUUGAAUAGUGCAAGAUUUUCGAAAGUUCUCUUUUCUUUUCCUCCUUUCGUGGGAACGUUAUUCAAACGAGCACCGUUGAUAUGUGAACUGCAUGUCGCCCCGAAAGAAUGUUCCUCUCACGGAGGAGACUAGACUUUUGUCUAGUGGAGAACGAGAGUCUCCUUCUGCGCGCCAAGGAGGUCACAUUAUUAUCGUUAUCAACGACUGCGGUGACGCAGGCGUCUAUCAAAUUCGCGCAUCCAUCGGUUUCUUCGAUGUUCCGGCGUUUCGGCAAAAAACUCAAGUCCAAAAAUGGAAGAGAAGAAAAGAAAGAAGAAAGAAAGAGAGAGUUAAACCAGUUAUACCUCCAGCCUUGAUAUUCAAAACGGGAUACGUGAUUCAUUAGAGAGAGUACUCUAACCCCCCCAAGCCGACGUGGGAUGGUUUACCAUCCCGAAAGGGAGCUAGGCAAGCGCACAGCCGGAGCAAAAGGAGAAAGAGAUCAGGAAUAGAAUUCACCGCAAACGCGAAAGAGCAUUCGCCGGCGUUCGUGCGAACGCGCUAGCGCCUAGAGCUCUCUCUGCGUGCGAUGCCGCUCUUCAGGAAUAGGUGGAAUGGUGGCGGCGCUGUAGCUCGAGCGUGAGGGGUGGCAGGCAGCAGGGGUGGCGGAAAGGGUAGUAGGAGACCGGGUGAAAGGUGGGGUUGCCGCUCGAUACCACUGCGGCACGGCCAAAGUCGAAGCUAUACCACGAAUCCCUCUGCCUCGCUAUCCCCGUCUCUCUUUCUCUCUCUCCUCCUCGCUCCGUCGCCGUUCUCCGGCAGGUCGUUGAUACCCUCUCGCUCGCACUUUCAUCCCCGCUGCCUUCCGCCUGUCCCUCCAUCCCUGCCGCCUCCCCAGUACGUGCACUAUAUAGCAAACGGCCUACAGCCUGCGCCCGGUAUCUACCCCCGAAAUCUACCCUCUAACUCUGCCGCGUCUCCCCUCUCGUGCUCGCGCUCAUCCGACCUAUCCCUCAGGAUCCCUCGAGGGGAUCUACCGAUCUGCGCGCUCUUUAAACAACGAGACACCUUUCCCUCGACUACGUCUCAAUUCUCGCCCGGAAGAAGCCCGAUCUGCCUCGCUUUUCCAGGCCAGUUUUGCGCUCGCCUGUGAUCAGCCGGCUCUCGACUUACCUGGUUCCUGCUCUCUGUCUCUUUCUGUCUCUCUUGUUCUUCCCCUCUUUGCCUUUCCGUCCAAGGCAUUCUUUCUUUUCUCGCGAUUUCCGCAUCCUGACCUCCCCCUUCCCCCUCGGCAAGAUCGAUCUCCGUUAGUCCAGCAAGAGAACGAUUCCAUUAAGAAAAAUCGCGUCACUUGCCGUACUUGCACAGGAUAAAUUCAUAGGCGAGCGGAGCGCGGAGUAGUAGUUCGCAAAAUUGCUGUUCUCCAUACGGAUCACCUUUGGAAAAUUAGAUAGAUCACUUUCGUCAGCUAAUAUUCUCUCCUGCAACCGCACCUAGAGAUUCAACUCUUUUUUUUGGUGAUAAGGCAAUUUCGCUAAGAGCUACGAUCAUAGGCAUCAAUUAGUUUAAUUAAAUAUACGCGCUACUUUCUACGCUAUAAUAGCUUGUAUUGUAGAUAAAUCCUAAUUGAUUCCCCAGGGUCACUAGUUAAUUGCUAUUAAUUGUUAAAUAAAAUACUCUAUAUUAUAUCAUCGAAUUAAAUAACUGAUUCUGCGAUCUGGAUCGACAAUGUAUUAACGCGUUAUGCGCAUGUAUUAUACGGAAAUAAAUUUAUCAGAAAUAUAAAAGGAACGAGUUCUUCGCGUAUUGUUAUUAAAUUUUCCGUUCCUUAGAAAUCUGGAAUGAAAGUACAAUCUUUGAGCAUUCAGAGUUUCUACAUUUUUAUAAACGUGAUGUAAUAAUGCUUUCAAGCAAAGAAUUAAAACUGAAUUAUUUAACCCGCGGGAUUCAAGCAAUUCUUUUGCUCGCUCCGUUAACAAUCGAUUUAAUUAAUUAUCCUGUGAAACGUUUAUUAAGAAAUGAGAAAUAAGCAAAACUCAUCGAGAGAGAGAAACCGAUUUCCGUAACGAUCUGUAUACUUAAUCAUUUCGAUCGGUCUUGUUUCGGGAUAUACGCUCUCAGAUCGAAUCUCCCGAUGCAAAUUAAGUAUUGCCUCCCCAUGGUGUUACCGUAUUAAAUUGAAUAUGUUAAGCACGACGGCAGCUGUGUAUCAAAGUCCCAUGGCGAAGUACGUCACACCGCAAUAUUUGGCCCCCAGGAUAGCGAGCGUUGUUUUCUUACAUGAAGCGGGAAACACUAUGAUCAUAUAUACUGCACCUUGUUUCCAUUACACGACAAAAGAGAUAAAACAUAAGAAAUACCUGCCCCGAACAAUCUCGCGAUAUUCAGACGAGUACAAAUAAUAUAUAUACGUUUAUUUCUAUGAUUUAUCUUUUGAUGUACAUUUACAUGAUUUUCAGAUAAUCAGAUUUAAAUAAAAUAACUGAAAUAUGAUUCGGUAUGACAUUCUUGUCAAUUCAGGAGAGCAAUUUGUUUCGAUGCCAAGUGCAUGAAGCAUUCAAACAACGAAUGAGAAACUGCUCGUCGCGGCUUAUGAAGAAACGCGUUCGCAACGGAUUUGGAGAAAUAAAUUCCUCGAUGUUCUUUCAAAUUACACAGGAUAUAAAUUUGUUCAUUACAUUGCAUUGUCGCGUUAAAUUAACCAUGUUAAACGUGUCCCCAGCUGCAAGGUACAAAUCCUUUCUUAACAGAGCAUAAUAACCGCGAUAUUUAACCCUCGAGGUACCGAGUCUUGCAUUCUUACACGGAGCACCGAGGGCAAUGCUUGCAAAGCUCUAGAUUAUAAUCUGAGAUUUGCAUGGAGAACUUCAUGAUCGUGCGAAAAAAGUAUGUAAAUUAAUACACUUUGAGAGAAAGAGAGAAGGAGAUCGGUGAUUACGUUCGGAGGAGGACAAAGUACAAAAAUCUGAUAUAACCCGACGCAAUUAAGCGGCGACUGAACUUUUUUCCUUAUCUAUUAACGUCACGCGUAAUGUCUUUAUACACACAGCGUGUCGCCACCUCGAUUUAUGGCGGAUAAUUUCACUUUGUAUUGCUGAGUCGACGAUAAACGAUAUCCAUCAAUAAUGUAUACGUUUGUGGAAAUCCGAUUAUUGAAAGUGUGUGUAACGGAGAAACGCGGAAAAAUAUUUAAGAAAGAUAAAGUAGCGGAAACGCGAAUGUGACGUUUGUGGCGCCUUCGCGUUCUUAUACGCAAAUAUCGUUUUGCAAACAUUGCAAAAUUACUACUCCGAAAUGUAACGUUGAAAUUAUUCAUAAUUUCCAUGUAUCUAGACCACAAAAUUUACGCUGAAUUAUAUAAAUGCAGGCGUUAUGGCCAGUGGCAUAACUAGGUGAGCGUGCACACGGUGCAAUCAGCGCUUAAGUGCACUCCCCCUUUUCCCCUAGACUUAAACACAUCUCCUUCUCAAAGUAUGAGCAACGCAAGUUCAUUAGAAGUAAAAAAGAAAGAAUCAGGUCGCCAGUGAAUUAAUAAAUUGUACAUAAAUUGUGAUAAAUAUCACGAAUAUCCCGGUAAACAACUGUGCAAGCAUCAACUUAUAAAUUACGAGAUGUUAUAAAAUUUAUGGAUAGAUUGUUUAUUAUAUUAUUUUUAUUAUAUUAUUAUAUUUCAUUAUAUCAUUUUUAUUAUGUAAUUGUAUUAUUUUGACGCAAUUCCUAACGUCAUUCCUGAGAAGCUGACACGUUCCUAACGCUUGUGAGAUUGCUGUCCUGCCUUAAUUACGGUGCAUAGUUCAUCGAUUAAUCGCUAACUCGAAUUUCUUUCUUACCGUCGUUACAUCGCAUCGUAUCGCGUAGCAAUAUUUAUGCCGUCAAGAACUCGCGGGCGUGAUACAAGAAUCCGAGACCGGCUACUAUUUCUUCCAUAAAUUGCGUAAAUGUCGGAGAGAUUUUAAAUAACGCGAAAACAUGACGCACAUUAUCAGGUGGAACAAAAUAUAUGGCAGACGAGGUAUCCCGAGAUAAAUAAAGGAGCUAAUAAAAUAGACAAGAUUGAUAGACAGAGAAAUAAGUAGCAUUUAGCAGACAGUUGGAACAUGAUUUUGACAUUGCAAAAAUCGUACGUUUGAGAUAUUAUAAAAAAAUGUUUAAUCUUGAAAUUAAUUUCUAAAAUAGUUCUUAAAACAUGACUAUAAUAUAUAUUUUUCUUUUAAUUAUUUACUCGGUCUAUUGCUCAGUACUUUCGUUCGCGACUUUGUAAUUUUUUGGUGCGCUGUAUAAAUAAUAUAUAAAAUAUAUUUAAAACGGUCGAAAUAUGGAUGCCGUAGUAACAAAAUAACAUUUAGUUUAUUAUGCAUCGAGUUUUAUUCUAUCAAAACCAGCCAGCGAUGCUAAUGGUGCGGCACGAUCGUAUUAAUUGAGGUUUGAUGUAACGAAUUAAAAAUUAGCUAAUUUAAAAUGCUCAAAGAAGCGCGCUAUCUAUGAUCAGCUACGAUCGAUCGUUGCAUACAUCACCGCGUGCAUGACGAUAGUGAAUUUAGGGUAGGAACCCUAAAUAAUUUACAUUCGCUCUGCUAGUAUUUCAUUUACACGAACACACAAGAUACACGCAUGGAAAACAAAAUGGAUAAUAAACAGGUGUAUAGGUUGCACAAUGUAUUACAUCCAAAUCUAUAGACAACUAGCACUAUGCUGUUCCAGCGGCAACCAUCGUCGAUUCAUCAGAGAAGUGUGCAAUUAAUAUCUCGCAGUUCUCGUAUUGCUCACUAAUCCGCGGAAAUGAGCUGUCUAUACGGUUAGUAACACAAAGCGUACGAACAAAAGCGCUGCGCACGAGAACAAGAAAGAGGAGUGGUGUCCAGCAUCCAAAAACUACACACGGUGAGAAGCGUAAAUGGGUGUAGUAAAGUAAUGAAACACGUCAUCUCGCAUCUGGUUCCAAUUUGUUUUUUUCAUUUUUCUGCAAGCAAAGUUUUUUGCAUAUUUAAAUCGUUACCUUUUGUUACCUGCAUUUUAAAAUUUCAAUUUUAUAAUUUGCGUAUAAAAUUCAAGGAUUUUGUUUGAAAUUUCCGAUAUAUGAAUUUUAUAUUUGUGUAUCCUUUUUUCCAUCGACUUUGAAGUUAUAUCCUAUGACUAUAUGAGUAUGCUAAGCGCUUGAUAUUAAAAAGGAUCAUAUUAAUAUUAAAAAGAAUAGGAUAGUGCGAUCGCGUUUACACAUGCACAGCAUUAGAGCUAACACCAGAAAAAAUGCUGCACUUUCAUGUCAACUACGUUCCUUUUUGUGAAGCAAAUUGACGGACGUUAAUUAGAUAUUAUUUAGUUGUUCCAAUUAGAGUUUGUAUAUAUUAUUACAUUAUUAAUUAAAUUCAUUCAUAGAUAUUCGAUAUACAAUUUGCUAUAAAAAUGUGAUCCAUUUUACUAUGUAUUUAGAUAACUUUUAUCUUGAAGGUUAUUUCUUUUUUGCAUUCAGCACACCUAGUUUUGCACCUAAAAUAAGUUAUCGUGAACGCGAAUACAUUAACACAUAUUAAUAAUAAUUAGAACGUGUAUUAAUACCCAUUGACAGACAGAUAUCCAUAAUAUCCAUUUAAAUAAUUUCUUACAUGUUUGAAUUGGUUAAAUGCCAGAUCUAUUGAAUAAUUCUUGUUACAUAAUUAUUCUAUGUUUUUAUACGACGUGCCAAUUUAAUAACUGAAUCUCGAGCAUAUUUAAAAAUCUUGUGUUUUAUUCAUUUAAAGGAAUUUAGGUAGCCAUGGAAAAACUAAUUUGUAUGAACAAAAACCUUGUAAAAGUUAUUCGGAAACUCACUUCUCUGUAUCUCACAAUCUUUAUUUCCCUUCAAAGCUAAUAAUCCGAGAUGAUAGCAAUAUUAAGGAUCCUUAAUUGAGAAAUAGAUAACAUUCAAUUAUAUGAUAGCGAUAAUUCAUUAAAAGCCCGGAAAUUUACGGAACAAUCAAUCAAUCGAUAUCAUGGUCUUUGUAGGAUCCUUUUUCACCUCGCACUGUAAAUAUUUCUCGUUGAUUGCCAUUGUUCGAGUUUGUUAGACUUCAACCGGAGGGAUGAAAGACGCGAGAAAGGUGGAACAUAGGGAAGAAUACAGAACGAUAAGUUUUUUGAUGAAACUUCCGUCGGGGAAGGUGCCUGAGGGAGGGAAAGACUAGAGAAUAUCUUCGUCGAUCUUCGAGAAGAGAAUGGGAAAGUUCCGCCGAUACUGUCGUUAUAUUUUCUUCUAACUUUCGAGUUUCCAUGGUUCUUCCUUUCCGUGUCAUUAUGGAGCAGCGGAAUAUUGUUUCGUUAAGACGUCGAUGCGGAAUAUAAAUCGCGGUCGACAGUCUCUGCAUUCUCUCGUGUUCAAGUGCUAAGGUCAUCCCUCUAACAUUUCUCAUCCUCUCUCCCUGUCUCUCUCUCUCUCUCUCUCUCUCUCUCUCUGGAGCACAAAAACGAUGAUCGCUAUGUAGUUCUCGAAGCGAGAUUUCUGCCAAUACUCCAACGGAUGCGUCGAAUAAGCGGGAUGUAUCGCGUUCGUAGGCGAAUGCGAAGGCGAGAGGAAGCGGUACGCGAGGAGAUGUAGCCACGACUAGGUGUAAUGUCGGAGUUACAGUGUAAACCCGAGGUUGAGCAGGAUAUUACGUCUUUUUCCUCCGGAAAGUAUAUUUCCGCGGAGAAACUCGCUGCACGUACACACGAGAGGAAUGCAAAGGUAGCAACGAAGAUUCUUGCAAUUUGCAUAAUUUAUUGAGUACCAGGGGUGGAAUCACUCUUAUAUCACCCGCGAAAAAUGAGGAAGCUGAGGAACGACAGGAUGAAAAAUCGUUGGUACACAGAAUUACCUUUUCCCACACUUCGGGGGUCCGUGGGAUCUCAUAUACUUGCGGCUCUUUCUUGAGACUCAUCCUACGUGGCAAAUAGCACGUUACUUAAGGACAUUAGCGAUGCAUGAGACUGGCUUAAGAGAGAGAGAGAGGAACAUUUUUUUUUUUAAAUAAAUCCCAUGCAAUAUAGCUGCCGUCGCUGGUAACGCGAAACGACACAGUCAAUCGAUAACGCGUUUUCAUUUUUAACGAGACGGAAAUUCCCAUUCGGGAUCGCGGAGUACGCGUAUGUACUGUUCGUUACCAUUCGCGAAACGUGUUAAAAUGUGACAGAACAGAUUUGCGUAGCCGUUUGUCGAGGUAAGUGUAACCCCGAUCCUGCACUCAUCGUGGAACCUUCAUGUGGCUGCCAGGUGGAGAGCAUCCCGGAAAAAUCAUACUGUUCUCACUCACCCUCACAUUUUUUCAUAUUCGCUAUCUCUCGAAGCGAGCCGACGAAUUCACCGCGUAUAUCAUACGACCUAAUUUGCUGUCGCGCGCGCGGCACAGGCGGACCGACCUCAAUCGAAAAUCGAUCAAAUUCAGUUCUGCUGUCCCAAGUUUUUCCAGAGCCGCGAGAACGCGUCUUACUGCCGUUGCAGGCGCGAGUGAUGCAGGAGCGAGAUGUGCACGCGAAAAAAGAAAAAACGAGGGAACUUAUCGGCCACUUUGGCUUCUAUUAGCUGAUGUGCGUGCGAGUGAAACCACGUCUGAACGAGAAGAGCUGCGAUUGGUCUCACGGAAAGCGAAGAUUUACGGGAAGUGAUGUUAACGAUAUUUCCGCGGAAAAUCAUCGCCAAGAGAUUCGUCCGGAGGGAGAGAUUGGCGGCGUUGAGAGAUUAACGAGUAUGAAACGCGCGGCGACUCGCUGAUGCACAAAUUUUUAUUCAGUGCGUGUAUGAUACACGAAUCCGGGUUAAAAGCUGUGUACACCAGGCUUGAACAGUAUUCCAAGCCAAGAAACGAGCGAGAGAAGCGAAAAGGGCAAAGCCAGUAGCCAAGAGGCAGAAACAGAGACGGCACUUUCGUAGUACUUAACUUUCUCUGGCAAGCCUUUUCGAGUUUCGCACGAGGGAUGUUUCAUAGCGAGGGUGGAUUUACAGAAAGUAACGGCGCAAUUUCGUACGAAAAUCUACGACGCGAUUUAGACGCCUUGAAAUACAUCUCGGAAAAUGUUCAGCAGAGAUCAAUAGGGCACGUGACAAAUUUUGAGAACGUGUGCCAAAACCGAAAGUGGAGUCGUUCGAAAAGAUUCGUGGCAGAUACAUGAAAAGAGACAAAAAAAUAACGUAUAUCCUUUAGUAGAAAACUUGUACAGAUACAGCAAGUUCGACUUCGUUGAAAUGUCAAUAAACAUCUAUUAAACGUCAACAAUAGGAUAUAUAUUCUUUCUUUAUAUAAAUAAAUCCGUUCCAGCUAAAAUAAUUUUUUCUUUGAAUCGAUCCCAGCUGGCUUUGUUCGAUUCUAUUCGAACCAUAAAUCUAUAGAUUCGUAGCUUUAUAAACUCAUAAAUCUAUGAAGAUAUAGAUCAACAGCUUCACAGAUGUAUACAGAUUCAUAGAUAGAAGGAAGAGGUGAAAAAUAUUUGCUACGACAUCGCGUUUUCUCUUUCAUUCUCGAGAUAAAAUACAAUUUUUUCCAUCCAUUUAUUGAUUAAUAGAUGUUUUACCAUUCCUCGUGCAUACUCGCGGCGAUACUCGUAAAUUACCAGGCGAGAAAAAUGAAACUAUAAAUUACGAGAUAAGAAACGAGAUUGGGAAACAAGUGUUAAGAAUUGAGGGUUGGAUGUUAAGAGUUAAGGGUUGAGAGGGCUGGAGAUGAGAGUUGAAGGUUGUGAGCUUAGGCUCAAGGAUCGCGGAUUGAGAGAAGAUGGAGAUUCAGAGAUUUCGGAUCGAGGGUCGGAAAUUGGAAGUUGGCGUUUGGGAAUUAACAGAUGGCAGUUGACAGUUGAGCGGAGAGCGGAAGUAUGAUUGGAAAAGCAAAGGGAAAAAAGUUGUGACAUACUUUCCAGGAAACGUUAAUAUUGCCGUGCCAAGGCCGCUUGAUGAUUUGAAAACUCUAGAAAAGGCCUGCUGAAGACUAUUACAUCGAUAUCGAUUUUUUAACGUAUCUUACAUCUUUUUAACUUAACUCGCAUGCAACUUGACGCAAAAAAGGCGCUGCGUGCCGCACGUAUUAUUAUAGAGAAAACAUUGCCUAUGGUAAGACCUCUUUUCCACACACGUACAAGUUUCUAAUUAUCAAUUAUAUAUCUCCUAUACAUUUAUAUAAAAUUUAUACAACAAAGAAAACUGAGAUUGUCGAGGAGUAUCUACAAAUUUCUGUAGAACGUAUUCUUUUCAUCAUUCAGGAGUAUAUCAAGAGUCAGAAUUAUCUUUUAAAAUACCGUCUGAUCGUGAUAAAGAAGCAAGAUAGCGUCUCUCAUCACCAGAUAAGCCGUGUACUCGAAGCGGUGCCGGUCUCUCUCUUAAUUCAUUACACAGAAAUGAUCUAAACUUGACUCAAGAGCAACGUGUCUCCGUGGUUGAGUAAAUCUGUCGCCUAAAUUAAUGAUCUUCCAUUUAACCGUCUGUCAUCUUUAUUUCACCCAUAUACUCGAUUCCGUUUGCGUGGCGAUGAUCGUUCUACACCAAACUAAAUCCAGGCGAAUUCAUUGCGGCGAGUUCCGGCAUGCUUAAAAUGGUUCGCUCGCCCGCGUUUUGUCAAAAUUGUUGGCUGAGCAAACAAAUUCGUCUGAAUCUGCAAAAAUAUCGGUGUAUUUAUUAUUCGCGGACUGUUACAAGCUGGAAAUAUUCAUUCCAGCAAGAUACGUCCGGAAUUUGCCGUAAACAUUUUCCGCGAGAUAUACCAGUGUGUAUUUGCGAGAGUAUCCGCGAGUAUUCGCGAGGUGCUCAACGCAUCGUGAACCGCGCAGCAUAUGUUUUGCUUGGCUGAACGGAUACGCGUACGUAUAAAGCGCAUGUACGGAUACGCUUUGCAAUUUCUGUCCUUUUAAAAUUCGCGCGUGGCGCAAACUGCGCUCUCGCAACGUUCGCGCGCGACGCGAUGUGAUUUCGUUAACGAAAUCUUCGGCGACAAUAUGUCGACGCACGUGUAAACACGGCCGCACAGCCUGCAACUGGUUGCAGCAAUUGGUUGCAACAUCGCAGCUACAACGGCGGGAUGCCCCUAUUUUCUCAAGACCAGCGACGUUCAACCGCGUUUUCCUUCGCGUUCAACCCCUUUGCGCUGUAUUCGUAUUCCGCUUCCCUCUUAAUGUCCCGCUUUUGUGCUGUAAAUGAAAUCUCCGUGCUGGGGUGGAACGUUCAGCCUCGCAGGCGGAGCAUCGACUAUCUCUGUUGUGUUGUUUAAAAUGCGUCGUGCAAUAUUGGUGUCGUCAGAGCCAGAAGCUGCUGCUGCUACUGCUGCUGCUUUAUUUUGCGAGGGAGCGUGGCACAUCUUUUUUCUUCAGCCCCGAAGAAAAUUCUGCGCGAAUGAAUCAACCGUGUCUCGCGUAUCACAAACAACAGCACGUUGCACACAACAACGUGUUUUAUCCGUUCUUCUUAGCGGACUGAGUGUAACGCUCUUGCAUAAUAUGUGUUCGCGCUAAAUGUAAGAGGAAAAUAACGGCAGAACGGAGAACGGAAUAUGCAUACAACGUAUAUUCCGCUGAAAGCGCGAGCCGGUGGAAUUCUCCGCGAUACACAGGCGUACCCGUAAAAGGUAAGCGCGCGAUACGCGGCCGACGGGAUCAAUCGGGAUGUUUUAUCAAAGUAGUUUAUUCCGAGCCAAUAAUCCAAAUAAAAAUCAAGAAGGCGGAGGCGAAGCGUAUUUGCGCACGCGGAGAUCCGAAUCUUGACACUCGAUUUAUACCGUUCUCGCGGCAAGCAGCGGCAAGACAAGGCGCAGACAAUAAGGGAAGAAAAUAAAUCGUUUACCGUUGGAAACACCCGUCCUGAGCGGAUCUUCACGGUUCAAGAGUGUUGCGUCUCUAUAGUUUCGCACGCGGGCGCAAGCCCGACGUUAGUCUUUUUCUUCUUAUAAAAUAUACCACACUGUGCGCGUCUCUCUACGCUCGUACGGUUCGAUCCUUUCUGCUCCCCUUUUCCUCGAGUUUACUUUAUCGCGAGAGAUAUCAGGUUCCGCAGUACCUCGUGCAAACACAGGAGACACUUGCGCCCAGGUAUAAGCGACGACAUUUGCUCCUUUUUCAUGUCCCUCUGACACUCGUUCCGUGAAAUUUCUUACUCCCUCUGCCGCACGAAACUCCGGCCGGAGCCGUUUACGCUGCGGUCGCGUCAUCGGGUUUGCGUUCAAGAUAAUAAAUAUCCGAUUGUACGAGCGCACACGCAGCUGCGUGGAAAAUAGUGCCGACAACGUCCACGACGUGCUCAGCCAGCCACCAAGUUCGAAACUGCUAUUUUUAGCGGCAAUACCGCAACGCGAUGACUUGUGCACUUGAUCACGCGAAACCUCUGCGAUCGUUGGAGUCAUCGAAACAUAAUACUUUAUCCUCACGUAUCGUGAGAAAUUCAAACAGUACGCCGUGCAUGUGUUGCUUAAAGCGUAAAUUAAAGUCAGUGAAAACGUUAAAAUGUAGAAAUGUUUGCAGUUGAAGUUUAGAUGAUGAAAGAUAAUGAGAAAUGAUCCGAGAAAUUUUACGAAAGUUUGUAAAUCUUUUAUUGAGAAACUUUGUUUGUACGAGGCACUUGAAAAUUCUGCGGUCUUUUGGCGAAAUACUGCAGGCAUUAGAAUUAAUUAUAGCACGUGUAUAAUACAUCUAUGCUCAUACUCCGUAAGAUUGCUAUAUAAUUCAUAUGAAUCAAAGAAUUUCGUAUAACCUUUCCACCUCCUGCUGUUAAUUAUCUUGCGGAGUGAUAAACAGUUUUCGCGGCGUACAUUGCAAAAAUUGUGAACUGUAUCUCGCGCUAAAGAGAUUAAAAACUACCGGCGCAAAGUAUACAUAAUUACGGAAUAAAGUACUAGGUAAUUGCGAAGCUGCAUGUAGCACCUAUGCAGCCUCCGUGAGUGAAAAAGGGAAUUAUAUUUUCGUACCGCCGUGAUUUCAAAGGCGAUUCAGACGGGAUGAUUAAAUCAGAGUGAUACAUAUACGUACAUCGAGAAAAAGCCAAAGGUGCGAAAUUUCGCGCACUCUUGUCUGCGAAGCGUAUGCACAUUAAUUUUAUAACGUGCGAGCAAAGUCGACUUAAAGCCGUAUAGCGAACCGAUGGACGCUGCUUUGAAGAAACAUGCUUUAUCGCAAGAAUCUUUCUCUCUCUCUCUUUUCAUGAUAACGUUAUUAAAUUCUGGAUUUUAAAAACAUGAAAAAAAUAUGCGUAAACUUUUAUCGCAAGUUCUAUGCCUUAGCAUGUUGCUACAAAUUAUUUUGUUCAAAGUUGCGUGUUUUUUACAGAAAAGAAUUUUUUAGCAGUCUAUGGUAUAAAUAUACUACUUAUAAAUUAAUAACAAUUUUCUAUAUAUGCAACGCCACUUUUUCAGUGUGCUGCAUAAAAGCAAGUAUCUAAAAAAUCGAUUUUGCAUUUAUGUGUAUGAGGACAAGGUUUACAAUCUCAAUUCUAAACAAAAAUCAAAAUGACAACGAGUUUGGAGACAAUUUGCUUCAAAGUGCGGAGGAAUUUGCGCGGGAACACGCUCGAGUUUUCAUAUCCUCUGCGAGAAUAUCCUCGCGCAAACUGCAAUAGCAAGAUUAUAAACUGAGAAGUUCCAUGCUCACGUUAUAAUCCGCGAUUCGUGUUUACUCGAGCGAUACGUUGACAAAGCUAUCAUAAGUUGAUAUUUUGCAGAAGAGCUUUCAUAAGUUAUUUAAGUACCUGUUUCGUGCGACCGAUCCACGGCAGACUACAGUAAUUAAAUAAGAAAUUCCUUUCGUAGCUCCAAUUAUCAAAUGCGAUCGAUUUUGAACGCUAUUAUCAGAUCGGAAUAUGCAAAUAGCCGAUAUUUUCCAUUCUCAUGUUUCCUCCGUACCUGUGAGGCGAUUCGAGCCCGAUUCCAAUUCCGAUGCUGGCUACAAUUUGGAUUGCUAGAAAAUUUCUGUCUAUAUAUUAAUACAAUAAUGUACCAUGCACGUACGUGCUUGUAGGGAACUAUCAUGUUACAUACGUCGCUUAGUACCAACGGUAUUACAGGAAAAUUAAUGAGGAAAAAGUAAAACGGACAAAAUUAAAUAAAUGAAUCUCACACAUACACACACACACACACACAGAUUUGAACCAUAUCCUAAUUGUCACAGCAGGAAAUUACGAGGAAAUAAUUGAUGAGACACAUGGAAAACCGUAAGACUCCAACUAGUAACAUCUACCAAGUAAGAAUGAAUAGCAGAUACGCUAAUGGAUUAAGACGUUGAAGCAAUUAAAAUAAUUGAACCAACUCCAGGUAUUCUCAAAUGCAUGAGCAUUCAUAAUACAUCACAAUAGUACAUUAUAAUUACGUAACAUAGCAGACAUUAUAAUAUUCCAGCCAGUGAAUUCAACAGAUUUAGAGUGAUCCCGGCUUAUUGAGCAUCUCGAGCCCAAGAAAGCACCGAGAAGAUUUAGUCUCCACUCAUCCACUCGUAUUCCGCGAGUGCCCUCGCACAUCCCCGUCAUUAGGGGAGGCUGUUUCCGGCGGCUGAAAUGCGUAUAUUCUUUUACUCGCACGAUCCGGCCACCUCAGAUCGUCCAUGAGCGACGACUCAUGGUGUAUACACGCGCGUGUCUACCCCCGAGGAAUAUAUUCCCGGCGUUAGUGCCCUCGCAGCACACACAACGAGGGACGUGACGUUGCAACAAUCGUCGCCAUCCCCCGCAUCCCCAGCAUCGUCCGUCCUUUUCCGAAAGGGAAAAUUGCGACAUGCCCCAGCGAAAACAUGACGCGGCCUUCGCAUUCCGCCGUUCUCUUUUGCUCUGCUUUGCUCUCCAUUCUCUCCGCCUUCUACCCUUCCCUCCCCACGGAUUCUCUUCGUCCAGAGAGAAUGAAAAUCCCGAGAACGUCGCCUGUACGGCGUCAGUGUCAGCCAGCACGAGAGACAGUCGUUCGAGGCUCGGUCACUCCUUCCACCCCUUUCUCUGCCGUUCCUCUCGUCCCUCUCCUCCGUUUCCUCCCUUGUCUCCUCUGGCGGGCAUGAAUUUGUGCAAUCUGGCUCUUUAAUAGCGCGAGAGUGGUUUUUGCUUUUAUUAAAACGGUAAACGCGCGAGACACGAGAACGUAGAUUAAACGACCCACCGAGACCUCGUUAAAGAACCCCUGCGCUCGAAACAACGACAGUUUUCGGUAAAUGAUACCGGCAACGACCGAGUGGCUGCAUCGGAUCGCGUCACCGAUAUUCACCCCCUCGGGCGCAGCGCAGCGCGACGUCGGAUCGUCGGCUAAUAGCGUUUAAUGCCAAAGUUCGGUUACGGCACGAACGAACGAACGAACUUGAGCCCGGCCGACUUUGAGAUAAGUUGCACGUCGCGCCUCGCCGUGCUCGUUUGUUCUCUUGAAACACACUGGGAUCGCGUCGUUACUUUGCGCAGAAUUUUCAGCACGUCCGCUCGCGCAAUAGCUUCGCAACUUCCGAAGCCGAGCAAGCGACCAAGAGAGAAAGAGACAGGAAGAAAGAGAGGGAGAACGAGACCGAGGCUGCAAAUGGCGAGAACGAGCACGUCGCGGGAUAUCAGCCAGUGAUGGAUGCAGUCAUUCGAAACGCGGAGCAGGCAGCAACCGCGACGACGAUCCAUUCGAUCCGGUCGAUCCGUGUAAUUAAAUGCCCACCGCGCGUACCACCGCCGGUUCUCCACCGCACGAAAGUGUACCCCGCGGUUGUAGUAAUCCAUCCGCAUUUACAGGAGGAUUCGGAUGUCCCGAUGAGUGGUGUAGGCCGUUCGGACCCGCCUUGGCCGCCGAUCCGGUCGAUCAUUAAUAGGAAAAAAGCCAGGUCGCGCGUUUGGACGCAGGUACGCACAAACCACCCCCCCCCCUUCGCUGGGCCAAUUGGAUUAAAGCUGGUAGCAAUUUUCGGCGGCGAAUAAUUUCGGCCGCGUGAAUAUUUCUUUCCCGCGUGACAGGACACGGAUCGUUAAUUCUUAUUACGCCUGUCACGUAAUUUGCAUGCCGGCUGCGUUACUGGAGCCGAUGCUGCCCCGUAUCGUCGCAAAUAUGGCGAUAACUAAUUCGUCGCGACAACAUCGCCAAUCAAUAUAUCGCUGGGCAAUACGCAUCGAUGAAAUUAACACGUAUAUUGGCGCAUUUUUAUCAUCUGUACAUGUGUAUCUUAACAAAGGAGCGAAACUAAAUAUUGACGUUCAUAAGUACGCGUGAUUAAACUGACCGUAAUAAUUAUUUAUGCAAGAGAUGCGAGCAUGAAACGAGCGCAGAGGCGAUAGUUGCGGCCGUUUGUACGUUACGAGGCGGCGUUUCGGAGCCCAAUUAACGGCGCGUCGGGCUCUCGCGGAACGAAUUUCGAGAGGCGUCAAAAGGCACGUGGCUUGACUAUGCAAUCCCAUAACGUAGUUACGUAUUAACCGGAAAUAUCGCACUGAAAAUUCGAUAAGAAAAUAGUCACCUGUUUAAACAGUGACACAAAUCGUUACAGAAAUUUUCACUGGACGUAUUCGUUGGAUUGUAAACAACUGAAAAAUUAGUAUUUUGCAAUUUUUGAUAAAGAUGUGGCUAGUCUAAAAACAAAAUCCGAUAACACGAGCGAACGUUAUCUCGGAAUAUUUAUUGAUGCCAAUCCAAUGUGCAGACUCAAGUUAAUUUAUAAGAUCUGGAAGAGCACGUUUGCAUGAAACAUAAUUUAAGCUUCCACAGCGAGCAUUCGCAGUGGGACAUCCCGCAUAGAUCGAGAUUCUUAAAAUAUCGCCACAGAUUUCGCAUGUACAAGCGUGGAUAAAUAUUUAAUAGGAGAUUUAUCGCGAAUAGCGAAGAAGAAGCUGAGAGAGAGAGACGGCAAGAGUGAAGGGAAGGGACGCAGAACACAAUGGAAAAACUCUGGGCACUGGAAAAAGAACCGAGCCAAGUUUCGGUCGUAACGGAGAAAAGUACCAGGUCAUGCCAAUAUUCGCAAACGCAGUCUUUAGUGAAAUGCAAAUUCACCGGCCCGUUCGACCGAUGGCCUUCUUUGGAAAUGUACGAGGACGAAUUGCAGAUGCGGGAUUAAAUUCCUAUUAAAUGUGGAACUGAAACUUUAAUACGUUGCAGUCGGGAAAAUUGAAUUGCUAUUUCGGUAAUAGCUCUCAUAAUCCCGUGGGAAGUACGAGUUAAUAAACUCAGUAAUUACAGACAUUAUACGAUAUCACCAUUUUUAAUCUAAUAAUUAAUUUCUGAUAAAUAACUUUUUCACCAGCUGUGUUAUAUAAAUUAUAUAUUAUUCCAAAGUUCAUUUACGUUUUUAUGAGUCGUCGCCGUUUAAUUAUUUGUUAUUUAGCCAUAUGUCGCUGAUGACUUUCUUAAUUAUAGAAAUAUUUUUCUCGUACAUAUAUAGAAUACUUAAUUUUUAUUAAUAAGCAUCAUUUUAAACUACAAGUCAAUCAGCAUUACCCAUUUCUAUCCGGAUUUCAUAACAUUAGCUUAUUGAAAUUUUCCAAAAUAUCACCGAGGUAUUUAUCGUCAUGACGACUAACGACUAACGAACAUCAAUCCGUUCAAUUACAUUUGUUUGUUAUAGAUAAUUAUAUAUCGACGCUUAUAGAUCAAAUGUCAACAUUACGAGAGAUGAUGUAUCUUUAGAAACAGCAAUAAAAUAAUACAGGUAAAUAAUACAGGUAAAUAAAAUAUAAAGUAUUCGUAAAAGAUUCGUAUGAUCGGAAAAAUCCGUAUAUAUGACACGACGUUGCUACGUGUCACGGUGCACGAUUUUCAGAAGAAGCACCGUUUGCUCCCAUUACGUGGUCUAUGGAUAUCUUUCCGGAAUGACGUGAUAACGGGCGCUGGACCAUCGCGAGCCGUACAGCUUCGCCGAUCGAAGAUCCUCAUUCCACUCUUUACUCGUCGUCAACACGUAUGGGGUAACCUUGCCUGGUAACCGGGAAUCGUCCAUUGGUUCGUCCCAAUGGACGCCAAACGAAAAUGGUAGAGGCCAUCAGUGAGGCGAAUUUAAUCGAAAAGGAUGUGCAAAGCUACCGAUUUCAGAUAAUCGCGUGUCAUCAUAAGCUGGAAUUCAGGUCUCCAAAAUUAGCUACUUUAUAAUAUUUUAUCUUCCAAAUUAAUGACAGACGCAAAAAUAAAUUGCAACGUAACGAUUUUUCUUUUAACAAAAAUAAAAUAAAAUUUGUUCUGUAUUUAUCGAAAGAUACAUUUCACACAAAAAAACAAUCGCUUUUAAUCUAGAAUGGACACGAAAUACAGUUGUCACAAUUUCGUCCAAACUUGAACAUGCUUAUAAUAAUAUACGUUUUCCUGUUACCUUUUAUAUAUAUAUAUAUAAUUCAGAAAGUUUCAUAUAAAUUCACAAACAUCGCACCGUUAUGAAUGGGGAAUCGAUGCACACGUGGAAAUUGCAUGCAGUGAACGCUCGCGACGCAUUGCGCUGUCAAGUUUCGUUUUAACAAGUUACGAUAUCGCGAUCCAGUGGCAUCGUCUGGAUUUGCCUAAAAGCAUCGGCGAGUUAGUAUCCGGGCGCUUCCGGUGCACUCACGGUCCACGCAAUAUCCUCAUAGUUCGCAUCGCGAGAUCCUCGGCAUACGGACGGCACACUUCGGUCAACUAUUCCCGGUACGAGAAUCUCCUUCGCCUAGUGACGCAUAGCCGAAAUCUGAUAGUUAUCCCCGUGGAAUGAAUAUGCGAUACGCGCGCGAUGCCCAUAGUGACGCGUACACGGCGUGCCCGGCAAGUAAAUGCCGAAUACCACCAAGUGCCUUCAUCCAGUAAUGCUGACACACGCGAAUACCAAAUGGCUAAUACGCGUUUUGACUGGAUCGCCAAAUCCGGCUAAUUAGAGUCGCACAGUCAUGACGAUCCUAAUCGCGCUUAGAGACAGAUCAAACCAUUGCUUGACGCGGUCAGGAAUUAGACUGGAAUUCAUACGGCGUAUAACUGCUGUGCUAUCGGCACGGGAUCGCAGUUCUCAGUUGUCGAGAAGUUUCGGUAAUUGUUCUUAAAUGCUCGCUCUUAAAGAGCGAUCGAUACAGAGAGACUCUGGCGACGACUGUUUCGAUUUGAUGAUUAUCGCAUCGGUAUUGUUGUGUAUAGAUUAUUGUACGUAGAUGUUUCAAGCAAAUCAACAAAAUCGAAACGGAAGUCUUGCGCUUAUUUGUUCCUGUCGUAACUUCAUUCGUUUAUAAGAUGGAAUUAUCCGUAAUUUCUUAAUUUAGAUUAAUCAAUGCAUCUAUUUUUAGCGCGUUCGGGUUCGAAUGGAACAGGCUGUGUUUUAAACAAAUUGCAUUUCUGUAUAUUCGCAAGUGAUAGGAUGUUACUAAAUAAAACCAGACAGAUAUUUAAAAAUGCAAUCGAUACCCGCGAUACAUGCGCACAUUAAUACAUUUCAGGUACAGGAAUAUAGUAAAAAAUAAACCCGAAUUGAACAACGGGGUCAAUAGCGAGUUUGUUUGAUAAACGUCGGACGAGAAGUCAACAAAUUUUUGAUCCGUUUAAUAAUGGAACGUGACAAUUACAAGAGCUCUAUUUCCGAGUUGACAACGCGCGCGCGGAUACGUACUUGAAUAAAAAUUUGAAAACCGGCAGCUCCCACCGCCGAAAGCGUCGAGAGUACAAUUGCGAUUCGCGUCGGACUGCCUGCCAACAAAAAAAUAUGCGUAGCCGCAAUGCGUCGAAUAAUGGCGAGAGAAAAGGACGGGAAGUGUAACAAAAAAUGAAGUGGAGCGAAUGUCAUACUCGGCGAAUCGCCGCGAACCCUUCCUCACACGAAUGCAUUUCGAGCAUAACGCGUGUGUUAUGCGUUCGAAUAAAUUUGAAUGCGAAUGAGAUCACGAUAAAAAAGGAAAGAGAGAGAGAAAGACACAGACAGACAGAGACCGGGGUGUACCGUCGAGCGAGAACAAAAGGAGAGAUAUAGCGCGGGUGAUGGUGAUGAUGGGCCGCCGACACGCGGCAGUCUCGGAGAAGAAAUUGAAAUAGGUCGGUAUUCUCCAGACAAGGAUCGUGCGAUUGGAAGCUGCCAAUUAAUCGAUCACCGUUAGUCUAACCCAUACUCCUCUUUAUCACCUGGAUCCUAUCUUUUAAUUGGGAGGACAGCGCGCUGGCCGGCUGGUCGACCGGCCGAGCGGAUUAGCCGGUUCUCUUGACUUUGAAAGAUCAAUAAAAGCUGUAGCUACGUGCUACGGUCCAAAACGUGUUUCCGCCGACAUCCGCGGACCUUAUCGUCACCGUUCCCGCACUUCACCGUAUCUCGCCGGAAAAUGGUAUCCGCAGUGUGCGUCAAUAUUUUUCUAUGCCGCCGUUGCAGCCGGAAUCACCCCGGAAUGGAUUGUCCGCUUAUCCGCUUCCUCGAUCUGCUAAUCCUGUCUCCAUGGGUGCCGAAUCUGCGCUAUCCCCUCGCGGAGAUCUAAACGGAGAUCUAAUCAGUCGUUACGAGAGGAUACGUUCUACAACCGUAGCGUUUUCCUCCUCUUGAUUUAGAGAAUUCUUUUUCUUGAGAGAAUUGUGGCGCUCUUUUGCACGAGCUGAAAAA